This 231-nucleotide ribosomal RNA is filed under the name uncultured bacterium. RNAcentral's name for it is "partial 16S ribosomal RNA". It matches the Rfam family "Bacterial small subunit ribosomal RNA", at positions 15 to 229 of the family's 1533-position model. The record is from RNAcentral.
GAUCAUGGCUCAUGAUGAACGCUGGCGGCGUGCCUAACACAUGCAAGUCGAGCGAGAAGCUCUUGACGGAUUCUUCGGAUGAGGGAGAGAGUGGAAAGCGGCGGACGGGUGAGUAACGCGUAGGCAACCUGCCCUUUGCAGAGGGAUAGCCAUUGGAAACGAUGAUUAAAACCUCAUAAUACUGAUUUUUCACAUGGAGAGUCAGUCAAAGAUUUAUCGGCAAAGGAUGGG